UACGGGGGGGGCAAGCGUUGUUCGGAAUUACUGGGCGUAAAGGGCUCGUAGGUGGCCAACUAAGUCACACGUGAAAUCCCUCGGCUUAACCGGGGAACUGCGUGUGAUACUGGAUGGCUUGAGUUUGGGAGAGGGAUGCGGAAUUCCAGGUGUAGCGGUGAAAUGCGUAGAUAUCAGGAGGAACACCGGUGGCGAAGGCGGCUACCUGGACAGAGUCUGACGCUGAGGCACGAAAGCUAGGGGAGCAAACAGG
Molecule: ribosomal RNA, 253 nt
Filed under: uncultured bacterium
Lineage: Bacteria
Description: partial 16S ribosomal RNA
Rfam family: Bacterial small subunit ribosomal RNA
Source: RNAcentral